GGGGGUGUGACUUUUGUUGUCUCAGGUACAACUUGCAGGCCCCAAUGAACCAAGGGAACCCUCCACCAUAUCCGGGCCCUGGUCCAUCGGCCCCAUAUCCACCAUAUCCACAGCAACCCAUGGGGCCUGAGGUCUACCCUCCAGGACCUAUGGGGGGACCUUACCCACCUCCUCAAGGAUACCCCUACCAAGGAUACCCACAGUAUGGAUGGCAGGGUGGACCUCAGGAGCCUCCUAAAACCACAGUCUAUGUGGUGGAAGACCAAAGAAGGGAUGACAUGGGCUCCUCCACCUGUCUCACUGCCUGCUGGACUGCUCUCUGUUGCUGCUGCCUCUGGGAUAUGCUCACCUGACAAGCCCAGCCCCUCCGGUCCUGCCAGUGCUGCCACGGCCUGACGAGUGUGCCUGUCCCGUCUCUUCCGAUUGCUGUAACGACUAGCUCUGCCCAGGCACCUCUGCUUUCAAAUCGACGAGAUUCUAGAUUGGGGGGGUUGCUGCUGUUUAAUUCAGUGACUUGAUCUUUUUACUGCUCAGAAUCUGGUUCUUAUUGGUCUUUAACGAAUGUGCUAAAUGACUCUUCUGUUUGUUUUAGCCAAAGGCUUCUGAAAUAUGUAUGUUUAUAAUUUUAAAAUUAUACAAAGUACUGGCCCCAUGUAACACACCACUGAAUAAUUUCUCUGCUAGCACCUGUAUGUUUCAAUAAAUCUGUUCAAACCUCAA
This is a long non-coding RNA of Echinops telfairi (small Madagascar hedgehog), 720 nucleotides long. RefSeq lists it as uncharacterized. The record is from RefSeq and is a predicted model, not a curated record. The transcript has 3 exons. NCBI's taxonomy places the organism in Eukaryota, Metazoa, Chordata, Mammalia, Afrosoricida, Tenrecidae.